GCAAAAGUGACCUGAGGCCAUCGUCCCAGGAUCGCAUGACGAUGGGGCCUAAGUGAAGAGUGUGUGUGUGUGUAGAUGUGUGUGUGUGUGUGUGUAGAGUGUGUGUG
Alosa sapidissima (American shad) is the source of this 107-nucleotide long non-coding RNA. RefSeq lists it as uncharacterized. The transcript is spliced from 3 exons. Lineage: Eukaryota; Metazoa; Chordata; Actinopteri; Clupeiformes; Clupeidae. The record is from RefSeq and is a predicted model, not a curated record.